GGACGAACGCUGGCGGCGUGCUUAACACAUGCAAGUCGAACGGAAAGGCCCUGCUUUUGUGGGGUGCUCGAGUGGCGAACGGGUGAGUAACACGUGAGUAACCUGCCCUUGACUUUGGGAUAACUUCAGGAAACUGGGGCUAAUACCGGAUAGGAGCUCCUGCUGCAUGGUGGGGGUUGGAAAGUUUCGGCGGUUGGGGAUGGACUCGCGGCUUAUCAGCUUGCUGGUGGGGUAGUGGCUUACCAAGGCUUUGACGGGUAGCCGGCCUGAGAGGGUGACCGGCCACAUUGGGACUGAGAUACGGCCCAGACUCCUACGGGAGGCAGCAGUGGGGAAUAUUGCACAAUGGGCGGAAGCCUGAUGCAGCAACGCCGCGUGCGGGAUGACGGCCUUCGGGUUGUAAACCGCUUUCGCCUGUGACGAAGCGUGAGUGACGGUAAUGGGUAAAGAAGCACCGGCUAACUACGU
RNAcentral lists this ribosomal RNA (468 nucleotides) under uncultured bacterium. Its description in RNAcentral is "partial 16S ribosomal RNA". It matches the Rfam family "Bacterial small subunit ribosomal RNA", at positions 27 to 506 of the family's 1533-position model. The record is from RNAcentral.